UACGUAGGGUGCAAGCGUUGUCCGGAAUUAUUGGGCGUAAAGAGCUCGUAGGCGGUCUGUCGCGUCGGAUGUGAAAAUCCAGGGCUCAACCCUGGACCUGCAUUCGAUACGGGCAGACUAGAGUUCGGCAGGGGAGACUGGAAUUCCUGGUGUAGCGGUGAAAUGCGCAGAUAUCAGGAGGAACACCGGUGGCGAAGGCGGGUCUCUGGGCCGUAACUGACGCUGAGGAGCGAAAGCGUGGGGAGCGAACAGG
RNAcentral lists this ribosomal RNA (253 nucleotides) under uncultured bacterium. RNAcentral's name for it is "partial 16S ribosomal RNA". It matches the Rfam family "Bacterial small subunit ribosomal RNA", at positions 524 to 776 of the family's 1533-position model. The record is from RNAcentral.